UACGGGGGGAGCAAGCGUUGUUCGGAUUUACUGGGCGUAAAGGGCGCGUAGGCGGUCGUGACAAGUCACUUGUGAAAUCUCCGGGCUUAACUCGGAACGGUCAAGUGAUACUGUCGGACUAGAGUACAGAAGGGGCAACUGGAAUUCUCGGUGUAGCGGUGAAAUGCGUAGAUAUUGGGAGGAACACCAGUGGCGAAGGCGGCUCGCUGGACCGGAACUGACGCUGAGGCGCGAAAGCGUGGGGAGCAAACAGG
This 254-nucleotide ribosomal RNA is filed under the name uncultured bacterium. RNAcentral's name for it is "partial 16S ribosomal RNA". It matches the Rfam family "Bacterial small subunit ribosomal RNA", at positions 524 to 776 of the family's 1533-position model. The record is from RNAcentral.